AGCUCCAGUAGCGUAUAUUAAAGUUGUUGCAGUUAAAAAGCUCGUAGUUGGAUUUCUGCCUUGAGACGCCUGGCCCGCCAGGGUUACCUGUGUGAGUGCUGUGAUGUCUCUGGCAUCCUUCUGGAAGGCGUGCCUACCCUUUAUUGGGCCGGGUUCGUGCUCCAGAUCCUUUACUUUGAAAAAAUUAGAGUGUUUAAAGCAAGCUUGCGCUAUGAAUACAUUAGCAUGGAAUAAUAAUUUAGGACUUUGUUCUUAUUUUGUUGGUUUCUAGGGAUGAAGUAAUGAUUGAUAGGGAUAGUUGGGGGUGCUAGUAUUCAGCGGCCAGAGGUGAAAUUCUUGGAUUCGCUGAAGACUAACUUAUGCGAAAGCAUUCACCAAGGAUGUCUUCU
Molecule: ribosomal RNA, 389 nt
Filed under: uncultured eukaryote
Lineage: Eukaryota
Description: SSU rRNA
Rfam family: Eukaryotic small subunit ribosomal RNA
Source: RNAcentral